CGGAGUAGAGCCAGGUUGGUUAGGCGCUUCAUUUGGGUUGAGGAUUUUCUAUGUUCGAACCAUAGUGCUCCGA
Molecule: transfer RNA, 73 nt
Filed under: Fonsecaea multimorphosa
Lineage: Eukaryota; Fungi; Ascomycota; Eurotiomycetes; Chaetothyriales; Herpotrichiellaceae
Also listed under: 2 other names
Description: tRNA-Pro
Source: RNAcentral